RNAcentral lists this long non-coding RNA (4584 nucleotides) under Brassica napus (rape). RNAcentral's name for it is "long non-coding RNA (BNAP_LNC012580)". Lineage: Eukaryota; Viridiplantae; Streptophyta; Magnoliopsida; Brassicales; Brassicaceae. The record is from RNAcentral.
ACGCUCAACUCUAUUUCUAGAGAUGUGACCUAGGCGUUGGUGCCAAAGAGUUCCUGAAUUUGCAUCUUCAAACUUUCGUUUAGUACCUCUUGAUUCAACACUUAAACUUUCAUCUUUAGAGUUUAUAGUGUCAAGCAUAUAAAGACUGUGAUUUUCCAAAAGUUUACCGGUUCCAACAAGUUUUGAAUUUAAAGACAAAGUAGCGGUUCCGUUCUCAGUUAGACAAGAAUAACCUGAUCUGUCUAACCAAGGACCUGAAACCAAAUUACGUCUAAAAGACGGUACAACAAAAGUGUCUUUCAAAUCCAGAAAAUGACCAGAAACAAAAAACAAUCUAAAAUGCGCAAUUGCCUCCACAUGCAUCGGACUCCCAUUAGCCACAUGAAUGCGUCUUUCAGCAUCAUUUGGGGUUCGAUAGCUCAGGCAACCCUGAAGUGAAACACUAAUGUUAGUAGUAGCACCAGAAUCUAACCACCAAGUGUUCCUAGGUACUUCAAUUAAGUUCAUUUCUGAGCAAACCAAAGCAAGGAACAUACCUUUCUUAGCACGCCAAGCGUGAUAUUUAGGGCAAUCCUUCUUUAUGUGUCCACCCUUCCUGCAAAAGAAACAUGUAUCUUCAACCUUAGCAUGUUUCUUUUGGGUAGGACCCUUAGCAGCAUUAUCCUUAGUGGGCUCAAAUUUCUUUCUUUUGCCCUGUCCCUUAGAGGUGUAAACCAUAUGAGAACUUUCGGUCCUCUCUUGUUUCAUCCUCUCUUCCUCUUGCACACAAUAUGCAAUGAGCUCGUUAAGAGACCAUUGCUCCUUCUGUGUGUUAUAACUUGAUUUCAGCUGACUGAACUGAGGAGGAAGAGAGUUCAAGACAAAGUAUAUGAGCAAUUCAGCCGGAAGCUCAGUCUUAAGUGUCUUGAGUUUCGAAACAAUGUUGGACAUUUCCAAAAUGUACUCCCUUAUUUUUCCAUUGCCAUGGUACCUCAUCGUACUAAAGCGAUGCAAAAGCAUGCUAAUUUCCGCCUUAUCGCUUCUUGCGAAACGGGAAUCCAUCUCGGCAAGGAACUGUUUGAGAUCAUUGAUCUCCUCACCACCUCUGAAGGCUUCUGGAAUGGUGUCCUUAAUGAUCAUCAAACCAAUGCGGUUAGAACGCUCCCACUUCUCAUGAACAGCCUUAUAUUCCGAAGUGCUGUCAUCCGUAGGAGAAGAAGGUUUGUCCAUCCUGAGCGCAAGGUCAAGAUCCAUACACCCAAGAACAAUCUUCACUUUACUUUUCCAUUCCGAAAAAUUGGAACCCGUAAGAAUUGGAAUGGAUCCUAAGUUGGCAGAUAAAGUAGCUGAAAAGAGAGAACAAAACCGAGUUAACUCAAUAUCCGAAGAAAUCAAUGAUAAAUUUUAACUGAUUAUACUUCCCAUCCAAGAUACCAAAUGUAACAUCAAUAUCAAGUCUUUGGACAGUAAUAUUGACUACUAGCAGUACUCUUGUAAUAACAAUCAAAUAUUGACAAUAAUCCACGAUAAACAAUAAACCUUCCUUUGGGCCGAUUUAUUAUUUACAUGUUGAAACCAUAUAAUUGUCAUGUAUUCAUCAUCAUAAUUGUAUGUACAAUUCGGCCAAAAAUUAAGUCUUCCUUUGGGCCGACUCAACAUCCGCAUGAAUAUUGCACACACGUAUAUAUAUAAAUUUCGGCCAAACACAACCUUCCUUUGGGCCGAUUAAAUAUUCGCCAUGAACUUACAUACAUACUUCCUUUAAUAAUUCUCAUGAAAAAUCUUCUCAAGAGAGGUCUUCCUUUGGGCCGACAUCUUGAUUAAAUUAACCAAUCAAAUUAUUAAAUAUGUAUAAUCAAAUUUAUUAAUUGAUUUAAAGCUGAAUUUUAUUCUUGCACAUACAUAUAAGUGAACGUAUGUAGGUUCUUUAUGCAAGAAUACUUAAGCGGGAGAGUGGUUGGAGGCAGCAAGGGAGGUGCCAGCUUUAGUCACGCGACCUGGGUUCGAAUCCCACACUCUGCGUUUUUUAACUUAAUUAAAGCUGGAUGGGCCUAACUUAAUGUUUGUACCAAACUGGCCCAACUGAUUUAAAACAUAAGAAAAUGGGCCAAAAUAAUUAAAUUCGCAGGCCCAGAAUAAUUAAUUAAAUCAGAAAUUUUAUUUGGGCCAAACAACUAACAAGCCCAUCACGAAUCUGCCUCCCACCUUGGGUAUUGUCAAACAAUUUUUUCAACUUUAAUACCUAAAAAACAGAUCUAACCAAAUCUGGAAAAAAUUGUUCCACAAAAAAAAAAAAUGAAAAUUUUCAACAAAAUUUCAGAAAGUAUAAACCUUAUGAACAAUAUUUUCCAUCAAUAAAACCUUAAACCUUAUUUAGAUAUAAAUCUUAAACAUAGAUAACAACCAAAGAUCUAUAUCUAACAUGCAUGGUCCCAAAAUUCAACAUAAACUUUAGAAAAAAACAGAUUGAACAAUCCAAUAUUUUCACAUAAUAAUUAAAUUCGAAUUUAAAAUACAAACUUUAGAUUAAAUUCGAAAUUAUUUUAGAUCCAAAUAGAAAAUCAAUAUGGUGGCUCUGAUACCAAUUGUUAAUUUUAUUUCUUUAUGAUUCAUCAAUUUGAAUCUCAUAACCAUAUAAUUCUCUAUUUGAAUAGACAAAGGGGAAAACAUACCUUGUGAAUCCAUGACUCAAUGAUCUAUGGCAAGAGAAUGGAUCUUCCAAUACAAACCCCUUGUUGACCUUAGCUCUCCAUUGAUGGGAUAUGGAGUUUUUCACUUAAUGUCAAGUUAGGUUGCAUUGGGGACCAUAACCCAUGAUGUAGAAGUAAUUUCUUGUUCAACCCUUCACUAAACUAGAAAUCACAUAAGGCAUCCACAUAUAAUAUUUCAUAACAUUUUAUGCCCAAACUUAUUAAUGGUCAUAUCACAUUUAUUCCUUAACAUAUGUGACCCAACCAAAAUGAUCUUACAAUAAUUGUUAAAUUUAUUUCUUUAUGAUUCAUCAAUUUGAAUCUCAUAACCAUAUAAUUCUCUAUUUGAAUAGACAAAGGGGAAAACAUACCUUGUGAAUCCAUGACUCAAUGAUCUAUGGCAAGAGAAUGGAUCUUCCAAUACAAACCCCUUGUUGACCUCCUCUCUCUCUUUAGGGUUUUCAAUCACAAAUCCGAAUGGCAGCACAUCGUCACCAAUUGUUCACAUACGCCCUCCAACCUUCUCUCGCCGCCGCCUCCACCGUUUCCCCCGCUCCUCCUCCGCCGCAACCGCUACCGCAACCGCAGCAAAGUCUCUCCCUUUCUUCUCUCUACGCCUCCUCCGCCGCCGACCGCUACUACCCCGACGCCACGUUCCGCUUCUUAUCCCGCGACGGAUCCGAAGCUUUGACCAACUACCAAGCAACGGUUGCUUCUUCUUCCUCUUCUUCGGCCAUGUACCACCACCACCAUCUCCCCAACGCGGCGGCGGCGUCGCAUUUGGCUUACCCUCCUCAGCUGAUUCAUCAGGAAGCUUGGCCGCCUGGCGUCGAGCCUCCCGCCGCCGCCGCCGCCGCCGCUCUUCCUCCUGGAGUCAAACGCACCUCUGAAGGUCUGUCCUUUUACCAAUUCUCAGAUCUGCAUCGUUUGAUUCAUUAAAGUCUUCACCUUUAUUGCUUUUGGAGAGCCUUAAAGUCUUCACCUUUCCGUUUCCUAUGCUCUCAUCGUGAUUCAAUCUUGAUGGUUCCUUCAAUUGCAGCAUUAAAAAACGUUGCUUUAACUGAGAUUAAGGCAUUAGAACACACUGCUUGCUAUUCUAGGAUAGAUCUUGACUUACACUGUUUGUGUUACUUACCCCAACGAUUUUUGAAUUGGUUAGUCAAUGGGUUCUUUUGUGUUUGGGAUACCACUAAGCUUUACAGAAGUUAGAAUCAUCUCUAAGGAUAUUUGACUACUGUAAUGCUAUUAAUUACAUCUCUGUUAAAGUAUAUUUGACUACUGUAAUGUUAUUAAUUAGUCUUUGUUUGCUUUAAUAUUUUAGAAAAGACAGUUAGUUUUUUGUUCCCUUAAAAGUUAUCUUUUCUUGCAACUCUUUCCAAUAAACUUUUUCAAAAGGAAGACAUACCUACUGUAAACUCUAAGUUAUGUUUUCUGCUGUAUUAUUUCGUAUAUUUCAUUAUCCUCAAGUUUAUUUUCAAGAUAUAAAUAUACAGCAGCAUAUAUAUAUAUAUAUAUAUAUACCUUCUCAUGUUGUUGUAUAUUACUGUUUAUUAUGUAAUAUAGCGCUCUACUAUCCGACUCUCUACGGUGCCCAUAAUCCAAUGGGUCAGACGGAAGCUUGGUAUACUACGGACUACUUAACCAAGCGCCUUAAGUUGGAGAGUACGACGCAUUUGCCUGUCUAUCCACAGCGGGCAGGGGAGAAGGAUUGUACCCACUAUAUGCAAACAAGAACUUGUAAAUUUGGAGAGGGCUGCAAAAGUAGCACCAGAAUCUAACCACCAAGUGUUCCUAGGUACUUCAAUUAAGUUCAUUUCUGAGCAAACCAAAGCAAGGAACAUACCUUUCUUAGCACGCCAAGCGUGAUAUUUAGGGCAAUCCUUCUUUAUGUGUCCACCCUUCCUGCAAAAGAAAC